This 73-nucleotide transfer RNA is filed under the name Myotis brandtii (Brandt's bat). It matches the Rfam family "tRNA". From Rfam's summary of the family: Transfer RNA (tRNA) molecules are approximately 80 nucleotides in length. Their secondary structure includes four short double-helical elements and three loops (D, anti-codon, and T loops). Lineage: Eukaryota; Metazoa; Chordata; Mammalia; Chiroptera; Vespertilionidae. The record is from Rfam by way of RNAcentral.
ACCAGUGUGGCUCAGUGGAUAGAGCAUCAGCCUGCAGACUGAAGGGUCCUGGGUUCGAUUCCAGUCAAGGGCA